Molecule: ribosomal RNA, 326 nt
Filed under: uncultured eukaryote
Lineage: Eukaryota
Description: partial 18S ribosomal RNA
Rfam family: Eukaryotic small subunit ribosomal RNA
Source: RNAcentral
CCCUUAGAUGUUCUGGGCCGCACGCGCGCUACACUGAUGCAUUCAACGAGCCUAUCCUUGACCGACAGGUCCGGGUAAUCUUUGAAUCUGCAUCGUGACGGGGAUAGAUUAUUGCAAUUAUUAAUCUUCAACGAGGAAUGCCUAGUAGACGCAAGUCAUCAGCUUGCAUUGAUUACGUCCCUGCCCUUUGUACACACCGCCCGUCGCUCCUACCGAUUGAAUGAUCCGAUGAAUAUCAUGGAUUGAGGAUGCAAGCAGGUUCGCCUGUCUUCAUCUUCGAGAAGUGAAGUAAAUCUUAUCAUUUAGAGGAAGGAGAAGUCGUAACA